ACGGAAGGCAGCAGUGGGGAAUAUUGCGCAAUGGGGGCAACCCUGACGCAGCAACGCCGCGUGAAGGAAGAAGGCUUUCGGGUCGUAAACUUUUGUCUUAUGGGACGAACUUUGACGGUACCAUAGGAGGAAGCCACGGCUAACUACGUGCCAGCAGCCGCGGUAAUACGUAGGUGGCAAGCGUUGUCCGGAAUUACUGGGUGUAAAGGGCGCGUAGACGGGCGAGCAAGUCAGAUGUGAAAUACCGAGGCUUAACUUCGGGGCUGCAUUUGAAACUGUUUGUCUUGAGUGCAGGAGAGGGAAGCGGAAUUCCUAGUGUAGCGGUAAAAUGCGUAGAUAUUAGGAGGAACACCGGUGGCGAAGGCGACUUUCUGGACUGUAACUGACACUGAGGUACGAAAGCGUGGGGAGCAAACAGGAUUAGAUACCCUGGUA
This 435-nucleotide ribosomal RNA is filed under the name uncultured Oscillospiraceae bacterium. Its description in RNAcentral is "bacterial SSU rRNA". It matches the Rfam family "Bacterial small subunit ribosomal RNA", at positions 341 to 792 of the family's 1533-position model. The record is from RNAcentral. Lineage: Bacteria; Bacillati; Bacillota; Clostridia; Eubacteriales; Oscillospiraceae.